RNAcentral lists this ribosomal RNA (253 nucleotides) under uncultured microorganism. Its description in RNAcentral is "partial 16S ribosomal RNA". It matches the Rfam family "Bacterial small subunit ribosomal RNA", at positions 524 to 776 of the family's 1533-position model. The record is from RNAcentral.
UACGGAGGGUGCAAGCGUUAAUCGGAGUUACUGGGCGUAAAGCGCGCGUAGGCGGUGCGGUAAGUCAGGGGUUAAAGGCUGCAGCUCAACUGCAGUAAGGCCUUUGAUACUAUCGCGCUAGAGUACCAGAGAGGAUGGCGGAAUUCCAGGUGUAGUGGUGAAAUACGUAGAUAUCUGGAAGAACACCAGUGGCGAAGGCGGCUACUUGGUUCGCAACUGACGCUGAGGCGCGAAAGCGUGGGGAGCAAACAGG